Molecule: ribosomal RNA, 481 nt
Filed under: uncultured organism
Description: partial 16S ribosomal RNA
Rfam family: Bacterial small subunit ribosomal RNA
Source: RNAcentral
ACGUACACUCCUGCGGGAGGCAGCAGUGGGGAAUAUUGCACAAUGGGCGCAAGCCUGAUGCAGCCAUGCCGCGUGUAUGAAGAAGGCCUUCGGGUUGUAAAGUACUUUCAGCGGGGAGGAAGGCGAUAAGGUUAAUAACCUUGUCGAUUGACGUUACCCGCAGAAGAAGCACCGGCUAACUCCGUGCCAGCAGCCGCGGUAAUACGGAGGGUGCAAGCGUUAAUCGGAAUUACUGGGCGUAAAGCGCACGCAGGCGGUCUGUCAAGUCGGAUGUGAAAUCCCCGGGCUCAACCUGGGAACUGCAUUCGAAACUGGCAGGCUAGAGUCUUGUAGAGGGGGGUAGAAUUCCAGGUGUAGCGGUGAAAUGCGUAGAGAUCUGGAGGAAUACCGGUGGCGAAGGCGGCCCCCUGGACAAAGACUGACGCUCAGGUGCGAAAGCGUGGGGAGCAAACAGGAUUAGAAACCCUUGUAGUCCCAUGAU